GGUGGUUUGUCUUGUAAGUCGCUCUGGAUAAGAGCGUCUGCUAAAUGACGUAAA
This is a non-coding RNA of Salmo salar (Atlantic salmon), 54 nucleotides long. The record is from Rfam. Lineage: Eukaryota; Metazoa; Chordata; Actinopteri; Salmoniformes; Salmonidae.